GACGAACGCUGGCGGCGUGCUUAACACAUGCAAGUCGAACGGUGAAGGGGUCUGCUUUUGUGGGCCCUGGAUGAGUGGCGAACGGGUGAGUAACACGUGAGUAACCUGCCCCCUUCUUCUGGAUAACCGCAUGAAAGUGUGGCUAAUACAGGAUAUUCUGGGUCUGUCGCAUGAUGGGUCUGGGAAAGAUUGCGCCUUUGGGUGUUUUUGGUGGGGGAUGGGCUCGCGGCCUAUCAGCUUGUUGGUGGGGUGAUGGCCUACCAAGGCGGUGACGGGUAGCCGGCCUGAGAGGGUGGACGGUCACACUGGGACUGAGACACGGCCCAGACUCCUACGGGAGGCAGCAGUGGGGAAUAUUGCACAAUGGGCGCAAGCCUGAUGCAGCGACGCCGCGUGAGGGAUGGAGGCCUUCGGGUUGUAAACCUCUUUCGCCAGUGAAGCAGGCCUGCUCCUUGUGGGUGGGUUGACGGUAGCUGGAUAAGAAGCGCCGGCUAACUACGUG
RNAcentral lists this ribosomal RNA (502 nucleotides) under uncultured bacterium. RNAcentral describes it as "partial 16S ribosomal RNA". It matches the Rfam family "Bacterial small subunit ribosomal RNA", at positions 28 to 507 of the family's 1533-position model. The record is from RNAcentral.